GCCAGCAGCCAUAUCACCCUGCAGCUCUCAACUGAAGCUCAGCAGGUAUGAGCCUGGUCAGUACCUGGUUGGGAGACCUCCUGGGAAAAAUUAUGGUUACUGCUGGAA
Molecule: ribosomal RNA, 108 nt
Filed under: Lepisosteus oculatus (spotted gar)
Lineage: Eukaryota; Metazoa; Chordata; Actinopteri; Semionotiformes; Lepisosteidae
Source: RNAcentral